Trematomus bernacchii (emerald rockcod) is the source of this 293-nucleotide long non-coding RNA. RefSeq lists it as uncharacterized. Lineage: Eukaryota; Metazoa; Chordata; Actinopteri; Perciformes; Nototheniidae. The transcript is spliced from 3 exons. The record is from RefSeq and is a predicted model, not a curated record.
UGGUUGAAACAAAGCGGUAUGUUUUGACUGGCACUAACGGCACUAACGGCACAACGGUUGAGGAGUGAAGAUCAGUUGAGCGUUUCUGUGACUCCGCCCAGCGGCUGCUCUUCUGAGAGGCACCGCUCUGACAGCUCUGUCUACUGGGAAACGCGCUAAAAGUCCUUCUGGAGGCUUUGCAUUUGAACUCCUAUGACUGGUUGCGGACUUGAAGGGAAUAACUUCCUGGCCUUCCUAACAUCCAGGAAAAAGUUUUAUUGGACAGUAGAGAUCUAAUGGAAACAGUGGAGAGG